GGGACCCGCACAAGCGGUGGAGCAUGUGGUUUAAUUCGAAGCAACGCGAAGAACCUUACCAGAUCUUGACAUCCUCUGACCACCCAAAGAGAUUGGGCUUUCCCUUCGGGGACAGAGUGACAGGUGGUGCAUGGUUGUCGUCAGCUCGUGUCGUGAGAUGUUGGGUUAAGUCCCGUAACGAGCGCAACCCUUAUUGUUAGUUGCCAGCAUUCAGUUGGGCACUCUAGCGAGACUGCCGGUGAUAAACCGGAGGAAGGCGGGGAUGACGUCAAAUCAUUCAUGCCCCUUAUGAUCUGGGGCUACCACGUGCUACCAUGGAUUGUACAACGAGUCGCGAGACCGCGAGGUUCAGCUAAUCUCCUAAAGCCAUUCUCAGUUCGGAUUGCAGGCUGCAACUCGCCUGCAUGAAGCCGGAAUCGCUAGUAAUCGCGG
RNAcentral lists this ribosomal RNA (432 nucleotides) under uncultured bacterium. RNAcentral's name for it is "bacterial SSU rRNA". It matches the Rfam family "Bacterial small subunit ribosomal RNA", at positions 916 to 1347 of the family's 1533-position model. The record is from RNAcentral.